CCUACGGGAGGCAGCAGUGGGGAAUCUUGCGCAAUGGGCGAAAGCCUGACGCAGCGACGCCUCGUGGGGGAUGAAGGCUCUCGGGUUGUAAACCCCUUUCGGCAGGAACGAAAUUGACGGUACCUGAAGAAGAAGCACCGGCCAACUACGUGCCAGCAGCCGCGGUAAUACGUAGGGUGCAAGCGUUGUCCGGAUUUAUUGGGCGUAAAGAGCUCGUAGGCGGCUUCGUAAGUCGGGUGUGAAACCUCCAGGCUUAACCUGGAGACGCCACCCGAUACUGCGAUAGCUAGAGUCUGGUAGGGGAUCACGGAAUUCCUGGUGUAGCGGUGAAAUGCGCAGAUAUCAGGAGGAACACCGAUGGCGAAGGCAGUGAUCUGGGCCAGUACUGACGCUGAGGAGCGAAGCGUGGGGAGCAAACAGGAUUAGAUACCCUGGUAGUCCACGCCGUAAACGUUGGGCACUAGGUGUGGGUCCUUAUCAACGGGAUCCGUGCCGCAGCUACGACAUAAGUAGCCCGCCGUCGGGAGGUACGGUCGCGACGAACGUAAACGUACAAANAGAAGUUAAGUACGGCGUUGAGACGUUGCCGAACGGACGACGACGAGGGAGGAGG
This 613-nucleotide ribosomal RNA is filed under the name uncultured bacterium. Its description in RNAcentral is "bacterial SSU rRNA". The stretch from base 1 to 519 matches the Rfam family "Bacterial small subunit ribosomal RNA", at positions 338 to 873 of the family's 1533-position model. The record is from RNAcentral.